CGUGAAGAGCAAGUCCUACCUACACGAACGACACCAACGCAAAAGCACAGUGCCUGUCUCCGGAGUGGCACUCGUGGGAGCUACCCAACCGAGUAUGCAGCGUAUCUCUGUCGAGCUCAAUCAGGCUCUAACAAGCCAAAGUCAAGUAGCUAGGGUCAAAACAGGUCUAAAAACCAAAACCCACGUGCCCUCGGCACAAUCUGAGACCAAAAACAGGAAUCUGUGUCCACCGUCCACCUCGACGGCACCCGAC
This 253-nucleotide long non-coding RNA is filed under the name Ananas comosus (pineapple). RNAcentral describes it as "long non-coding RNA (ACOM_LNC042882)". Lineage: Eukaryota; Viridiplantae; Streptophyta; Magnoliopsida; Poales; Bromeliaceae. The record is from RNAcentral.